Molecule: long non-coding RNA, 5124 nt
Organism: Phyllopteryx taeniolatus (common seadragon)
Lineage: Eukaryota; Metazoa; Chordata; Actinopteri; Syngnathiformes; Syngnathidae
Exons: 5
Source: RefSeq, a predicted model, not a curated record
CACACAGUGAUGGGUCUCGAAGACAGCGGCAUGCAGCUUUCUUCCCGCUUUGACUGACACAGCUUUGAACCCCACGGAUUGAAUUCAGGGACAAAUGGAACGGGCGCCAUGCCUAGGAGCUACUGCAAUAAGGGUGUCUGCCACGAAGUAGAUGGAAAAGGUAAGGGAGGUCAUGGUGAUGAGGGUUUGCAAGUGCCCAAAAAAAUCAGGGAGAGCCUGCCGACCCUUGUGGCGCAUCAUGGCAGCAGUCAAGUGAAUGUGAAAACAAGAGAAAGCUUUGCGGAAUAUUGAUUUAAUGGCGCAGCCGGAGCAGGGGAGGGCGGCAAGAUGUGCGCUCCAGAUUACAUGCGCUCUAUUUCCCAACCAUACAGAACCUUGAGUUCCUCUGCCUGCACACUCUCGAGAACCAGAUGGAGAUAGUGACAGGAUGUUCUUUCAUUGGCCUUUGUGAAGUCCAGCAGUGUACAAACCAAUGGAGGAUGAGAACAAAAUAUACAGUACAUAAUAAAUAGUAAAUUAAUGGUCCCUUUGUUUGUAUAGAGAAGAUCAAAGCAUCUCCUUGGCAUCCAAACCUAUUGCUUGUGCCUUCCAAUUAGCUCCCUGCCUUCUAAAUAAUAAAUGUCUUCAGACCUCAUUACCAUCAAACAUAGAUUAGGAAGGUUGGUUUAGGUCUAUCCAACAUACAGUAGGAGCAAUUAUUGAAAUUUGUGUUCGGUGUGACAGAUUUUGACCACUUUUCACUAAUUGAAUAUAUUUUAUUCAAGAAAAAGAGGAACUGACACAAAUUAGUCCCACUAAAUUCCACAGCUACUGUAUAGUAAUUGCAUGGCAUCCUAUUUUUGCAAUCAUGAUGGGGAUAAGUUAAAAAUGUAAUUUUGACAAUGGUGGUCGACUACUACUGCAAAAAAAAACAAAAAAAAAACAUAUAUAUAUAUAUAUACAUAUAUUUAUUUUUUUUAACUCUCUGAAUUGAGUGCACCCGUCCUAACCGCACAGCCCCUCCCCUCCCUUGCAGCCGCGGAUGAAAAUAUGAACAGAAGAGGCGCACUCCCACUGUGGUGCACGGCCAAGUGAGGAGGCGCCUCGCAUAGCGUCCUGGGCCAAUGGCACACGGCGCAGCUUGGUCGCAGUGUGCGUGUCUGGCCAAUGGCGCACGCCCCCCCUGCUCACAUGACGCCAUUCUAUAUGUUGGCUCUCCUUUCAAUGCUCAAUAGCGACCAACACAGGCAUCAUUGCAGACUUGACACCGGCCAAAUGGGACGUCCAACAUCUACGGUGUGCAGUGACAAUGUGCUUUAAAAAAAAAAAAAUCCAUCACAUGAAGAUGUGCACAUGAUGACUCUCACUGCCGAGGAAGGACGACACACUUUUCCGCAAGCAGACGACCGGAGAUGCACGGGUCGAGACACAAACGCCCAUAAGUUGCUAAAAUGAAUCUUCAGGUCAUGUACGGGGCUGCCAUAAGAGGAAGAAUCAAGAACAAGUGCCUCCAACACAGAGGGGGAAAAGACGAAAGUGAUGAAAGAGAGGUCCAGAUAUGAUGAAGGCACACAUACGACGGCACCUUGGGUCUGUCUGUGGUCUAACACCAGCAUAACAUGCUCGCCAUCCCCGCAUUUGUCGCCGCAUGCCACACACAGUAUUUCCUUUUACGGGCUGCAGAUAAAGACAGGCAACAUUCCAUCUGUGACGAGACAGAGGAAGUCAAGACGUUAACACACAAACACACACACACUAGAGGCGUGUGAGCAGGUGGGCAUUAAGUCAGGCAACUAAACAGAUCACGUUGCGGUUUGAUAUCAGCAGACAGAAAGAGGAGGCCGGUUUGUACCUGCGGGCAGUCAGCAGCACCCUCACCAGGAAUGUCCUCCCGCUUGUGAGACACAUAAAUGUAACUGUAGGCUUUCCUCUCAAACACCAACGUGACUGGCUAAAACGUCUUCAAAUUGCACUACUAAUCAUCACAAAUUUGAUCAGCAAAACUACAAUGGUAGUCAUAGGAAAGCAGACCAUCACCAAAUCAUAACAAACCUAAUUUGCAUCAGCAACAUCAUCAAAUACCCACUUUGUGUAUGCUUGAAUUUUGUGAUUACAAUUCAUACAUAAUUCAAUGAGAACUUAAGGCAAGAGUUCCACAACUUUGCAAUGCUGCACAGAAGUGGAAGAAAAACUCUCCCUAAAUGUGUCAUCGUUUGAUUUUUGCGUGAUCUUGCUAUCAGUUGACCAUAAAGAGAUUUAAAAAAUAAAUAAAUAAAAAGUAUCACCAAAUCCUUAGUGUUAUGUAUUGCGAACCCUUCUGAAGCAAUUGUUUGCAGUAAUACUAUAAUUGUACUUUAAACUGUGAUUUUUUUUUUUUCACUGGCUGCCAUGGCAACCCCAUAUUAGCUUCUUUAGUGGUGGUCAUUACCAAGGUGAAGUAAAGAAUAUCGCUCAGAUAAUGAAACUGCUCUACCCUCCUGUACUUUGCUUUCAAGUUCAACCUGAGCCAAGAAAGAAAAGGUUAUCUAUUGUCAUUAUAUUUCAGCACACAUUCACAUGGUACUCUGAUAUUGACGACAGGCACUUCCUUUGUUACUUUGGAGUAAUUUGAUCAUCCGUGUAUGAAAUUGUCUUUCUGGAAUAACGAGGAUGUUAUGACAAGGUAACCGGCAUCAAUAGGGAAACUUUGACGAUAUCAAUGACCCAGACUUGUUCUGCUAGUUUGCUAUUGUGGGAACUCCACAGGGCACCUUUGGCCGGGUAACCUAUUGUGUAUUAUGAGCUGUAGUGGUGUGAGAAUUGAGCUGGCCACCAAGCAGAACCGAGUAUAGGGAAACUCUUUAGGAGGGACUAAAUAAGGAGUGCUAACAAUUCCCUUCUCCUGUGCAGAUUUACUUUGUUGGUAAGCGCCUCGUGAACAUUUACAUUUUUAAGAAACCACCACCUCCGCUCAUCCAAAGAUGACUCAGUGGUUAAAUGUCAGAGCUGUCCAUGCCAUUAAGGCCAACGCGUUUGAAGGCUGGACACCCUCAAACCCCACCCUCACCUCCCCAUGUCUCUUCUUAUUCCUCCCUCGCUUCCACUCUGACUUUGCCUUCAUCCGCCAUCAUCCAUCUCCCACACAUCCAGGCUGGUUUGAGGGCUGAUCUGUGCACAGACCUUGUCAUUCACAUUAGGGCAACAUUGUCAGCUCAGGGCCAUUCCCUCUCUCCUUCUCUCUCUCUCCAUGGCCCAGAUCUUUCUUCCUGUCACCCUCGUCCUCAGGCCAGAGAAGACCUUAUAAAGCAACAUCCUUCUCAUCCACUUCUGUCAAUUCCAACACUGUCAUUCAAAUCCUGUUUCGUGAGGGAGCACAGAAGUCCAGUUUUGAACAUCCCUCACAGCAAGGCCUGUGCUUUUUUGGGUCCAAACUUGGUGUUGCAGUGGCAAGCAACCACUUGAUUUUUUUAAUUUGGAUUUUUUUUUUUGCGCAGGCACAGAGGCAGAAGAUGAAAAUGCAGGAGAAUUAGACAGCGCACCAUGCAUGUAUAAAAUGAAUAUCUGAAGGAGUUUAAUGAUUGUUAUCAGCGUGGUAUUUUGUUUCAAAUUGCUUAAUCAACUUAGUGACCGUCUGUUCUUUAAAGGUUUCCCAAUUGCAUACUUAGCUGCUGGCCCCAUCUGGACUCUUUGCCUCUGAUCUACAGUUACAUGUUUUCUAUGAGCAGAUUAACAAUGUUGCCUGGAAAAGCAACAACACCCCAAUGUUUAGUAAAACCUUUCACGCAAGGCGUUGGUCAGUUUUAGUCGUUGAAGAGCAAGGUUUACAUCAUAGCAAAACUGAUUAUUAAUUUAGGUGAGUAGACAGUUUCAUCCUGCACGUUGCAAGAUGCACUCUUGACAUUAUAGCGCCCUGUAGACCACACCACACCUAAAAACUGCCAUGACUCAGCAGUUACGAGAUGACAUCUUUCUCUUUCUCAUGCUAUUUUAAAGGAAAUAAAGCCUGUUUCGAAACACUGACACUUAGUGUCAUAAUGAGAAUGUGUUAUAGGAGUUAUGUGGAUACAACACUUGGUGACAAUUCAUGACAGGCCAGUGUUGACAUUGCUGGCAUUUAAUAAUAAGUGAAGCAAAGCCAGUUAAUUGUGCAAGGGUCUUGUUAGUGGAGAACAUGGAGUGUGCAUAGGCUCUAAUAAUACGUUUAUACAAGUUCCUGUUUUAAUUCUCUUUUACUGUAAUUCUCAGGUUCAGUAGUGCACACGUAAAUACGGGAUAUAUGCAUAUGUAUACAAAUAUGUCAAGUAAGCUUACUAAUGAAAUUGUGUUUAGAAUUAGCAUUGUGUGUAUACUGUAGGCAUUUGCACAUUGUGGCCAAGCCAAGAAGACGGUAUUAAAGUAUGGUAAAACCGUGAGAGCAUUUUUUUGACAUAGAAACAUUGCGGCUGUGUUUUUUUUUUUGCUAUCCCUGGUAACCAUUGGGUUUGUGCUUGCCCCAGUGAACAUUCAACGCUGUCGGUGAGUUUGGCUAAAUUGGAAAACCAUCGACCGUUGAUUGUACCCUGUAGCAGGCUGUUACCCCAAAAAUAAAUAUGCAGAUCCUGCACAAAGGCAUUGGCAAUGACUCAUUGACCCUUUUCUACAGGCAAGAUGACAAUUUCUUUCUUUCUUUUUUUUAAAAGAAAAACAACUACAAAGGUCACAAUCAACAUUCAUUGCUGUCGGUGGGUUUAACUGUAUAGAAGAGCUCACUGAACGAUGAAUGCAACUGUGUCCCAGAUUUCAGCCGACCAUCACAACGAAUAAUGUCACGAUAUGCUGAUGAUGCUAUUGUUUAUAUCUGUGCCUGCCCCGCUCCAAGCCUACCACCAAUAACAGGCAAACACGGCCUGCGCGAACUGACAGGAAGUUCAGAUUGCAUCUCGGUCUCACUGGCUGCGCUGGAGGGGUUCGAGUCUCACAACAAAAGCAGAACAGGAAGGAGGGGGGGAUGCAGAGAUAGUUGGGGGAAAAAUGCAUUUACUUUUGAUAUAUGAUUAUAAAAUAUUAACUGAAGCAAAUAAAUAUAUCCUAGAUGACCCUAUGUACCCAACAAGUUUCCUUGAGUGUUUUUUCCACUUAUAUAUUUUUUAACAAAUACUUUUUUAAUAAAGGUGGACAUGAACAGAA